UACGUAGGGGGCGAGCGUUGUCCGGAGUUACUGGGCGUAAAGCGCACGCAGGCGGUCUGCUAAGUUUGGAGUGACAGUUGGUGGCUUAACUGCCAAAGUGCUUCGAAAACUGACAGACUUGAGGGCUUCAGAGGGACACGGAAUUCCGGGUGGAGUGGUGAAAUGCGUAGAGAUCCGGAGGAACACCAAAGGCGAAAGCACUCUGCUGGGCCGACACUGACACUGAGAGACGAAAGCUAGGGGAGCGAAUGGG
RNAcentral lists this ribosomal RNA (253 nucleotides) under uncultured bacterium. RNAcentral's name for it is "partial 16S ribosomal RNA". It matches the Rfam family "Bacterial small subunit ribosomal RNA", at positions 524 to 776 of the family's 1533-position model. The record is from RNAcentral.